Molecule: signal recognition particle RNA, 310 nt
Filed under: Thermoplasmata archaeon
Lineage: Archaea; Methanobacteriati; Thermoplasmatota; Thermoplasmata
Also listed under: 2 other names
Description: signal recognition particle sRNA
Rfam family: Archaeal signal recognition particle RNA
Source: RNAcentral
UGCCAGGCUUGACCGGGGCGCUCGGCGUGCCCUUUUACACCGAAAUCGUCGAUAGCGGGGGUGACAGCCUGCAGAGACGUAACCAUGAGAGCAGAGGCCCAGUAUGUGACGAUGAGACUUCGUCCGCCGGGGCGCGAGGAUCCGGAACGACAUGCCUGGAGGGGUGUGACUUCCGGACUGAUCGCGGGGAUCGGGUCAGGCCCUGACGGGAGCAUCCUUACCGCGGACUACGCACGCUCGGCGGGAAGCGGGGUCGAGGAGCCUGCUGCAAACCUCUGCUCAAGUGGCCGGCGAUGCAGGUGGCCUGGUU